Molecule: ribosomal RNA, 253 nt
Filed under: uncultured bacterium
Lineage: Bacteria
Description: partial 16S ribosomal RNA
Rfam family: Bacterial small subunit ribosomal RNA
Source: RNAcentral
UACGUAGGCAGCAAGCGUUGUUCGGAGUUCCUGGGCGUAAAGAGUGUGUAGGCGGUUCUCUAAGUUCGGUGUGAAAUCUCCCGGCUCAACUGGGAGGGUGCGCCGAAAACUGGAGGGCUUGAGUAUGGGAGAGGAAAGCGGAAUUCCUGGUGUAGCGGUGAAAUGCGUAGAUAUCAGGAGGAACACCUGCGGUGUAGACAGCUUUCUAGACCAUCACUGACGCUGAGACACGAAAGCGUGGGUAGCAAACAGG